RNAcentral lists this RNase P RNA (282 nucleotides) under Mycoplasma testudineum. RNAcentral's name for it is "Bacterial RNase P class B". It matches the Rfam family "Bacterial RNase P class B". From Rfam's summary of the family: Ribonuclease P (RNase P) is a ubiquitous endoribonuclease, found in archaea, bacteria and eukarya as well as chloroplasts and mitochondria. Lineage: Bacteria; Bacillati; Mycoplasmatota; Mollicutes; Mycoplasmatales; Mycoplasmataceae. The record is from Rfam by way of RNAcentral.
UGCAUCGGUCAAUUGCUGGUUAAUUAACUAGAGGAAAGUCCGCUCUAGCACGAGCUGCGAUGCUCGUAGUGUUUGUGUAGGAUCAAAUAAAUCCUAGCAAGGUGACUUGACGACAAGUGCCACAGAGACGAGAAAUGUGAAACGCGGUAAACUCCGCAAGCUAGAAACCCAAAUUAUGGUAGGGGAACCUAAAUAGUCAGAAUUGAAUGUCUAUUAGGAAAAUGAAAAUUUUAGAUAAAUAAUUGACACAUAUUUAAUAUGUACAAAAAGCGGCUUAUAGAU